This 418-nucleotide ribosomal RNA is filed under the name uncultured bacterium. RNAcentral's name for it is "partial 16S ribosomal RNA". It matches the Rfam family "Bacterial small subunit ribosomal RNA", at positions 355 to 765 of the family's 1533-position model. The record is from RNAcentral.
UGGGGAAUAUUGCACAAUGGGCGCAAGCCUGAUGCAGCCAUGCCGCGUGUAUGAAGAAGGCCUUCGGGUUGUAAAGUACUUUCAGCGGGGAGGAAGGCGAUAAGGUUAAUAACCUUGUCGAUUGACGUUACCCGCAGAAGAAGCACCGGCUAACUCCGUGCCAGCAGCCGCGGUAAUACGGAGGGUGCAAGCGUUAAUCGGAAUUACUGGGCGUAAAGCGCACGCAGGCGGUCUGUCAAGUCGGAUGUGAAAUCCCCGGGCUCAACCUGGGAACUGCAUUCGAAACUGGCAGGCUAGAGUCUUGUAGAGGGGGGUAGAAUUCCAGGUGUAGCGGUGAAAUGCGUAGAGAUCUGGAGGAAUACCGGUGGCGAAGGCGGCCCCCUGGACAAAGACUGACGCUCAGGUGCGAAAGCGUGGG